GACGAACGCUGGCGGCGUGCUUAACACAUGCAAGUCGAACGGAAAGGCCCCUUUGGGGGUACUCGAGUGGCGAACGGGUGAGUAACACGUGAGUAACCUGCCCUUGACUUCGGGAUAACUUCAGGAAACUGGGGCUAAUACCGUAUAGGAAUCCUUGCUGCAUGGUGGGGGUUGGAAAGCUUCGGCGGUUUUGGAUGGACUCGCGGCUUAUCAGCUUGUUGGUGGGGUAGUGGCUUACCAAGGCUUUGACGGGUAGCCGGCCUGAGAGGGCGACCGGCCACAUUGGGACUGAGAUACGGCCCAGACUCCUACGGGAGGCAGCAGUGGGGAAUAUUGCACAAUGGGCGGAAGCCUGAUGCAGCAACGCCGCGUGCGGGAUGACGGCCUUCGGGUUGUAAACCGCUUUCAGCAGGGGCGAAGCUUGUGGUGACGGUACCUGCAGAAGAAGCACCGGCUAACUACGUG
Molecule: ribosomal RNA, 465 nt
Filed under: uncultured bacterium
Lineage: Bacteria
Description: partial 16S ribosomal RNA
Rfam family: Bacterial small subunit ribosomal RNA
Source: RNAcentral